This 301-nucleotide ribosomal RNA is filed under the name uncultured bacterium. Its description in RNAcentral is "partial 16S ribosomal RNA". It matches the Rfam family "Bacterial small subunit ribosomal RNA", at positions 509 to 810 of the family's 1533-position model. The record is from RNAcentral.
CAGUCGCCGCGGGAAUACGUAUGUCACAAGCGUUAUCCGGAUUUAUUGGGCGUAAAGCGCGUCUAGGUGGUUAUGUAAGUCUGAUGUGAAAAUGCAGGGCUCAACUCUGUAUUGCGUUGGAAACUGUGUAACUAGAGUACUGGAGAGGUAAGCGGAACUACAAGUGUAGAGGUGAAAUUCGUAGAUAUUUGUAGGAAUGCCGAUGGGGAAGCCAGCUUACUGGACAGAUACUGACGCUAAAGCGCGAAAGCGUGGGUAGCAAACAGGAUUAGAUACCCCUGUAGUCCCUGUCUCUUAUAAU